Long non-coding RNA from Saccostrea cuccullata (small rock oyster), 954 nucleotides. RefSeq lists it as uncharacterized. The record is from RefSeq and is a predicted model, not a curated record. Lineage: Eukaryota; Metazoa; Mollusca; Bivalvia; Ostreida; Ostreidae. The transcript is spliced from 2 exons.
AUAGUACAGUGAAACACUCUUAUAAUGACGUGCUAGGUACAGAUGGCUAUGCUUUGUUAUAAAUGUGAUACAUUAUAUCUGUUAACUUCAUAUUAUCUUUUAAAACCCACAGGGAAUGUCAAUUCAUUAUUAGCGUGUUUGCUAUAAGCAUAUUUACUGUAGCCCACUAAAAUUUUAAUUGUAAAAUUGCUUCCUUGUGUAUAAGACUAAGUACUGAAUUCAAGAAAAUAUCAUAGAUCAGUCACUGUUAAACAUUAUCUCUCCUUUGGUAUUGAUUUUUACUCAAACUCUUAGUAUGUAAAUCUGUAUCCAAACAUAAUUAAACAGUCUGAAAGUCGGCUAGAAGAUGAACUUCUUCCCUUUUGCAUUGUUUUAGAACUCUGCAAAAAAAAAUUCUGCCAAAAUUAUUGACAUUCCUAUGAGCAAGCAAAAUGCCAAAUUUUAUACCCACUAAAGAAACCCGCUAUACAGUAUUUGACUGAGAUAGAAAUCCUUUUUUGUUGUUAAUAUAUUUGUUGUUGUUAUCUGAAAGGUCCUGCUCUUGAUGUGGUUGUAUCAUUUUUGAUCAUGUGUGUUACUGAAAUCAGUGAUUUUCCUCUCUCACUGAAUACCAUUGCAGUUUACCACAAUUACAAAAAAUAUUGACCAAAAGUGAUACACCCACAAGUCACAAAUGCUUUACAAAAACAAAAAAAAAAAUCAUAUACAUGUUAUGUUUUUGAGGGUUUACUAUAUUUUAAUGUUUGGAGGGUAUGAUCUGAUUUUAUUAUACAUGAAGUUUAUUUUUAAUGUAUUGUCACAAAUAAGUUUAUAUACGAUACAAAUGAUUAUUUAAUCUGAUUCCUCUAUACAGGUCAUUACAUUUUUUAAGGCUAUUCUUUUUUACUGAGCCCACCUAAAAAAUACGAAAUCCUGUUUGUGAUUCCUGUGAUGAAAUAAAUUUUGUGCAAUUUC